AAUAGGAUUGAUGACGUGAUUUUAUGAUAACAUUUGAAUAUAUCAGGAAGUUAGGCAGUUAAGAUAUAUAUAUUUCUUAAAACGAACUCCGAACAACAAAUUGCAUGAAUAUAUGUUUGAAAAACUGACUCAUAAACCACACUGCUCCUCCUCCCCAACUCCCCCAAGUCAAAAAAAAAAAACUGACUCCCAAAAAUAGUACACAAUUGAAUUUUGAAAUUUGCCGCUAAAAUAUAGUCAUUGGAGUUGUUUUGUUGUACUUCAUCCGUCCAC
RNAcentral lists this long non-coding RNA (273 nucleotides) under Salvia miltiorrhiza (redroot sage). Its description in RNAcentral is "long non-coding RNA (SMIL_LNC000168)". Lineage: Eukaryota; Viridiplantae; Streptophyta; Magnoliopsida; Lamiales; Lamiaceae. The record is from RNAcentral.